Molecule: ribosomal RNA, 396 nt
Filed under: uncultured bacterium
Lineage: Bacteria
Description: partial 16S ribosomal RNA
Rfam family: Bacterial small subunit ribosomal RNA
Source: RNAcentral
AUACGUAGGUGGCAAGCGUUGUCCGGAAUUACUGGGUGUAAAGGGAGCGCAGGCGGGACAGCAAGUUGGAUGUGAAAUACCGCAGCUCAACUGCGGAGCUGCAUCCAAAACUGUUGUUCUUGAGUGGAGUAGAGGUAGGCGGAAUUCCGAGUGUAGCGGUGAAAUGCGUAGAUAUUCGGAGGAACACCAGUGGCGAAGGCGGCCUACUGGGCUCUUACUGACGCUGAGGCUCGAAAGUGUGGGGAGCAAACAGGAUUAGAUACCCUGGUAGUCCACACUGUAAACGAUGAUUGCUAGGUGUGGGGGGUCUGACCCCUUCCGUGCCGGAGUUAACGCAAUAAGCAAUCCACCUGGGGAGUACGGCCGCAAGGUUGAAACUCAAAUGAAUUGACGGGG